UAUUGGUCAAUGGGCGGGAGCCUGAACCAGCCAAGUCGCGUGAGGGAUUAAGGCCCUACGGGUCGUAAACCUCUUUUGCCGGGGAGCANNGCGGCGGACGUGUCCGCCGUUUGAGAGUACCCGGAGAAAAAGCACCGGCUAACCCCGUGCCAGCAGCCGCGGUAAUACGGAGGAUGCGAGCGUUAUCCGGAUUUAUUGGGUUUAAAGGGUGCGCAGGCGGCCUGUUAAGUCAGCGGUAAAAGCCCGGGGCUCAACCCCGGCGAGCCGUUGAAACUGGCGGGCUGGAGUUGGAGAGAAGUACGCGGAAUGCGCGGUGUAGCGGUGAAAUGCUUAGAUAUCGCGCAGAACCCCGAUUGCGAAGGCAGCGUACCGGCUCCACACUGACGCUGAGGCACGAAAGCGUGGGUAUCGA
Molecule: ribosomal RNA, 412 nt
Filed under: uncultured bacterium
Lineage: Bacteria
Description: bacterial SSU rRNA
Rfam family: Bacterial small subunit ribosomal RNA
Source: RNAcentral